RNAcentral lists this ribosomal RNA (425 nucleotides) under uncultured bacterium. Its description in RNAcentral is "partial 16S ribosomal RNA". It matches the Rfam family "Bacterial small subunit ribosomal RNA", at positions 354 to 796 of the family's 1533-position model. The record is from RNAcentral.
GUGGGGAAUAUUGGACAAUGGGCGCAAGCCUGAUCCAGCCAUGCCGCGUGAGUGAUGAAGGCCCUAGGGUUGUAAAGCUCUUUCACCGGUGAAGAUAAUGACGGUAACCGGAGAAGAAGCCCCGGCUAACUUCGUGCCAGCAGCCGCGGUAAUACGAAGGGGGCUAGCGUUGUUCGGAAUUACUGGGCGUAAAGCGCACGUAGGCGGACAUUUAAGUCAGGGGUGAAAUCCCAGAGCUCAACUCUGGAACUGCCUUUGAUACUGGGUGUCUUGAGUAUGGAAGAGGUAAGUGGAAUUCCGAGUGUAGAGGUGAAAGUCGUAGAUAUUCGGAGGAACACCAGUGGCGAAGGCGGCUUACUGGUCCAUUACUGACGCUGAGGUGCGAAAGCGUGGGGAGCAAACAGGAUUAGAAACCCCGGUAGUCC